AAGAACAACGAUAGCCAAGUCGUCUAAGGCGCAUGGCCUAAAGAGAACUCGGACUAACUUACCAGCCAGGCGUGGGUUCGAAUCCCAAGCUGGUCUUA
RNAcentral lists this transfer RNA (98 nucleotides) under Cotesia glomerata. RNAcentral's name for it is "tRNA-Phe". Lineage: Eukaryota; Metazoa; Arthropoda; Insecta; Hymenoptera; Braconidae. The record is from RNAcentral.